ACUCGCUCCACUCCCGAAUUUGUGGCAGGGAAAAAACGUAUAUUUAACGGUAAAUUUAUCUUUCGUAGGGCGGCAAUGCUAGUUGUCGGUGGUUGCUAGGCAACGUGAACCCGCAAACAGAACGCUAUUCUCAAUUCUGUGAGCGAAGUCAAUGUUUUGGUAGAUGUCUUGUGAAUGUUGUUAUUGCUACAACGCCAGUAACGUGCAUGUUACACAUUUUAGAUUUUAAUUGGUGAAGAGUCAUAAAUCAUGAAUUCUGUAAAUACACAUCAUGGCAUACCAAACGGUCGGCCCAGUGUUGGAAUAUCAAAUUCGGCGCGAGUGUCAAGCGUCGCCAGAAGUGGUGUGGGGAGGCAGAGAAAAGUUCCAGAUUGCCCGUUAAUUGAAAGUCGUAAUUGGUUGAUACAUCUACAUUAUGCACGAAAGGAAUUCGGGAUAUGUAAAAUAUUAAUCCAAGAAGAACUCGAGAAGAGCAAAGGAUUCUCUGAAUUCGCAAACUAUAUGCAGGGUUUAAUACUGAGGCACGAAGGAAGAAUCCAAGAUUCCCUCGAGUAUUUUCAAACAUGUCAUGCCAUUAAUCCCAUGAACGUGGACAACAUCAAGCAGGUUGCAAGAUCUCUGUAUCUACUUGGAAGGCACAGAUUGGCCUUAGAGGCGUACCGAGAAGCAGAAAGUCUUGUUCUCAAGCCUGAAUGGGAUAUUUAUCAUAACUUAGGCAUGUGUCUCCUGCACCUAAAUGAAAGGGUUAAAGCAAAAGAAUGCAUUUCGAAGGCCAUUGAUUUGAGCCGCCAAGAAUGUUCCUACGUAGCACUUGCAAAAAUAUACCUGCUUGAGAACGAUAUUGGUGCUGCAGUUAAUGUAUAUAAUGCAGCAUGCAGCAUAUACCCAGAAAAUUCUGACCUUGCUACAACUCUUGGUUUACUUUACAUGAAACUUAGGGAGUAUCAGAAAGCAUUUGAGAAGUUGGGUUCCGCUUUAGCACAUAACCCAUCUUCAGCAAAGGCAUUGUUGGCAAUGGGUUCUAUAAUGCAGGACCAUAAAGACUGUGAGGUAGCACUAUCAAAAUACAAAAUUGCUACUCAGUAUGCACCUGAAUCAGCACCAUUGUGGAGUAACAUUGGAAUGUGCUUUUUUGAAAUGAAAAAGUUCAUUGCAGCCAUCAGCUGCCUUAAGAGAGCAAAUCACCUGUCUCCUUUUGAUUGGAAAAUAUUAUACAACCUUGGACUGGUUCAUUUAGUGACACAGCAGUAUGCAUCAGCUUUUCAUUACUUGUCUGCAUCGAUAAAUCUCCACCAUAGAUAUGGGAAUGCAUUUAUGCUGCUUGCUCUUACCUUGAAGAAACUGGGAGAUCCAGACAAUGCUCAAAAGGCUUUUGAACAGGCUGCACGCCUGGACCCAACAGAUGCUUCCAUACCUUUGAACUAUGCCAUAUUUUUGGCUGCUAAUGCAAGAAAGGAAGAAGCUGCAGCUCAACUGAAAAGCUUCCAAGAUAUAGCACAGCAAGGAACAGUUAACCAGGAGGCUUGCUGGUUUUACUGAUGUAGACUGGCCCAAACAAAAGAAUGCACAAAAGACUGGACAUCAACCAACUACAGCUAGCAGCACACUUACCAUAUGUGAAGAAUGUCAUCAACAGAAUUGGUAAACAUCUGCAUGAGUUGGUGUCCAGGCCAUCCUCUACAACACCUGCAAGAUUCAGAAUGUAUUAGGCUCGAACAAGGACAAGAUGCUUGAGGUUGCAAGCAAAAUGUUGGAAACACUUUCUGUAGAAAGUGCUGCUUCCUUAUCAGACAACAAGCCUGCUGAUGUUCGUACACCCACACCUGAUUACCUCCAUAUGGGUCCUGAUGAAGUC
RNAcentral lists this unclassified non-coding RNA (1855 nucleotides) under Schistocerca americana (American grasshopper). RNAcentral's name for it is "bardet-Biedl syndrome 4 protein, transcript variant X1". Lineage: Eukaryota; Metazoa; Arthropoda; Insecta; Orthoptera; Acrididae. The record is from RNAcentral.